UCACCCCUCAAGCCCCUGUGCUUGGUGUUGGACGGCUUCGGUCGAGUAACGUCGACCCCUCCUAAAGACAAUGACGGCGGCCUGUGGAACCCCCGGUACACUGAGCUUUUAACCGAGCACGUAUCGGAUGAGGGUGCCCGGGACACGGUCCUCUCCUUUCACUAGGAAACUUUUCUUA
Molecule: unclassified non-coding RNA, 178 nt
Filed under: uncultured Cladophialophora
Lineage: Eukaryota; Fungi; Ascomycota; Eurotiomycetes; Chaetothyriales; Herpotrichiellaceae
Description: sequence contains ITS2
Source: RNAcentral